GGGGAAUUUUCCGCAAUGGGCGCAAGCCUGACGGAGCAACGCCGCGUGAGGGAGGAAGGCCUGUGGGUUGUAAACCUCUUUUCUCAAGGAAGAACACAAUGACGGUACUUGAGGAAUCAGCAUCGGCUAACUCCGUGCCAGCAGCCGCGGUAAGACGGAGGAUGCAAGCGUUAUCCGGAAUUAUUGGGCGUAAAGCGUCCGUAGGUGGUUAUAAAAGUCUGUUGUUAAAGCCCACAGCUCAACUGUGGAUCGGCAAUGGAAACUGUAUGACUUGAGUGUGGUAGGGGUAGAGGGAAUUCCUAGUGUAGCGGUGAAAUGCGUAGAUAUUAGGAAGAACACCAGUGGCGAAGGCGCUCUACUGGGCCAUAACUGACACUGAUGGACGAAAGCUAGGGGAGCGAAUGGGAUUAGAUACCCCUGUAGUC
This 425-nucleotide ribosomal RNA is filed under the name uncultured cyanobacterium. RNAcentral describes it as "bacterial SSU rRNA". It matches the Rfam family "Bacterial small subunit ribosomal RNA", at positions 356 to 795 of the family's 1533-position model. The record is from RNAcentral. Lineage: Bacteria; Bacillati; Cyanobacteriota.